GGGUUGUGAGGUUAAGCGACUAAGCGUACACGGUGGAUGCCCUGGCAGUCAGAGGCGAUGAAGGACGUGCUAAUCUGCGAUAAGCGUCGGUAAGGUGAUAUGAACCGUUAUAACCGGCGAUUUCCGAAUGGGGAAACCCAGUGUGAUUCGUCACACUAUCAUUAACUGAAUCCAUAGGUUAAUGAGGCGAACCGGGGGAACUGAAACAUCUAAGUACCCCGAGGAAAAGAAAUCAACCGAGAUUCCCCCAGUAGCGGCGAGCGAACGGGGAGCAGCCCAGAGCCUGAAUCAGUGUGUGUGUUAGUGGAAGCGUCUGGAAAGGCGUGCGAUACAGGGUGACAGCCCCGUACACAAAAAUGCACAUGCUGUGAGCUCGAUGAGUAGGGCGGGACACGUGGUAUCCUGUCUGAAUAUGGGGGGACCAUCCUCCAAGGCUAAAUACUCCUGACUGACCGAUAGUGAACCAGUACCGUGAGGGAAAGGCGAAAAGAACCCCGGCGAGGGGAGUGAAAAAGAACCUGAAACCGUGUACGUACAAGCAGUGGGAGCACGCUUAGGCGUGUGACUGCGUACCUUUUGUAUAAUGGGUCAGCGACUUAUAUUCUGUAGCAAGGUUAACCGAAUAGGGGAGCCGAAGGGAAACCGAGUCUUAACUGGGCGUUAAGUUGCAGGGUAUAGACCCGAAACCCGGUGAUCUAGCCAUGGGCAGGUUGAAGGUUGGGUAACACUAACUGGAGGACCGAACCGACUAAUGUUGAAAAAUUAGCGGAUGACUUGUGGCUGGGGGUGAAAGGCCAAUCAAACCGGGAGAUAGCUGGUUCUCCCCGAAAGCUAUUUAGGUAGCGCCUCGUGAAUUCAUCUCCGGGGGUAGAGCACUGUUUCGGCAAGGGGGUCAUCCCGACUUACCAACCCGAUGCAAACUGCGAAUACCGGAGAAUGUUAUCACGGGAGACACACGGCGGGUGCUAACGUCCGUCGUGAAGAGGGAAACAACCCAGACCGCCAGCUAAGGUCCCAAAGUCAUGGUUAAGUGGGAAACGAUGUGGGAAGGCCCAGACAGCCAGGAUGUUGGCUUAGAAGCAGCCAUCAUUUAAAGAAAGCGUAAUAGCUCACUGGUCGAGUCGGCCUGCGCGGAAGAUGUAACGGGGCUAAACCAUGCACCGAAGCUGCGGCAGCGACGCUUAUGCGUUGUUGGGUAGGGGAGCGUUCUGUAAGCCUGCGAAGGUGUGCUGUGAGGCAUGCUGGAGGUAUCAGAAGUGCGAAUGCUGACAUAAGUAACGAUAAAGCGGGUGAAAAGCCCGCUCGCCGGAAGACCAAGGGUUCCUGUCCAACGUUAAUCGGGGCAGGGUGAGUCGACCCCUAAGGCGAGGCCGAAAGGCGUAGUCGAUGGGAAACAGGUUAAUAUUCCUGUACUUGGUGUUACUGCGAAGGGGGGACGGAGAAGGCUAUGUUGGCCGGGCGACGGUUGUCCCGGUUUAAGCGUGUAGGCUGGUUUUCCAGGCAAAUCCGGAAAACUAAGGCUGAGGCGUGAUGACGAGGCACUACGGUGCUGAAGCAACAAAUGCCCUGCUUCCAGGAAAAGCCUCUAAGCAUCAGGUAACAUCAAAUCGUACCCCAAACCGACACAGGUGGUCAGGUAGAGAAUACCAAGGCGCUUGAGAGAACUCGGGUGAAGGAACUAGGCAAAAUGGUGCCGUAACUUCGGGAGAAGGCACGCUGAUAUGUAGGUGAAGUCCCUCGCGGAUGGAGCUGAAAUCAGUCGAAGAUACCAGCUGGCUGCAACUGUUUAUUAAAAACACAGCACUGUGCAAACACGAAAGUGGACGUAUACGGUGUGACGCCUGCCCGGUGCCGGAAGGUUAAUUGAUGGGGUUAGCGCAAGCGAAGCUCUUGAUCGAAGCCCCGGUAAACGGCGGCCGUAACUAUAACGGUCCUAAGGUAGCGAAAUUCCUUGUCGGGUAAGUUCCGACCUGCACGAAUGGCGUAAUGAUGGCCAGGCUGUCUCCACCCGAGACUCAGUGAAAUUGAACUCGCUGUGAAGAUGCAGUGUACCCGCGGCAAGACGGAAAGACCCCGUGAACCUUUACUAUAGCUUGACACUGAACAUUGAGCCUUGAUGUGUAGGAUAGGUGGGAGGCUUGGAAGUGUGGACGCCAGUCUGCAUGGAGCCGACCUUGAAAUACCACCCUUUAAUGUUUGAUGUUCUAACGUUGACCCGUAAUCCGGGUUGCGGACAGUGUCUGGUGGGUAGUUUGACUGGGGCGGUCUCCUCCUAAAGAGUAACGGAGGAGCACGAAGGUUGGCUAAUCCUGGUCGGACAUCAGGAGGUUAGUGCAAUGGCAUAAGCCAGCUUGACUGCGAGCGUGACGGCGCGAGCAGGUGCGAAAGCAGGUCAUAGUGAUCCGGUGGUUCUGAAUGGAAGGGCCAUCGCUCAACGGAUAAAAGGUACUCCGGGGAUAACAGGCUGAUACCGCCCAAGAGUUCAUAUCGACGGCGGUGUUUGGCACCUCGAUGUCGGCUCAUCACAUCCUGGGGCUGAAGUAGGUCCCAAGGGUAUGGCUGUUCGCCAUUUAAAGUGGUACGCGAGCUGGGUUUAGAACGUCGUGAGACAGUUCGGUCCCUAUCUGCCGUGGGCGCUGGAGAAUUGAGGGGGGCUGCUCCUAGUACGAGAGGACCGGAGUGGACGCAUCACUGGUGUUCGGGUUGUCAUGCCAAUGGCACUGCCCGGUAGCUAAAUGCGGAAGAGAUAAGUGCUGAAAGCAUCUAAGCACGAAACUUGCCCCGAGAUGAGUUCUCCCUGACUCCUUGAGAGUCCUGAAGGAACGUUGAAGACGACGACGUUGAUAGGCUGGGUGUGUAAGCGCAGCGAUGCGUUGAGCUAACCGGUACUAAUGAACCGUGAGGCUUAACCUUACAACGCCGAAGGUGUUU
RNAcentral lists this ribosomal RNA (2931 nucleotides) under Escherichia coli. RNAcentral describes it as "23S ribosomal RNA". It matches the Rfam family "Bacterial large subunit ribosomal RNA". The record is from RNAcentral. Lineage: Bacteria; Pseudomonadati; Pseudomonadota; Gammaproteobacteria; Enterobacterales; Enterobacteriaceae.